ACGGGAGCGGCGCGCGGAAUGCUGGGAUAGUGGAAGUCCGCCCAGCGCUACCUGCGGGUUUAGCAGUCCGUCAGAGUUAGAGGCGGAUUAUUUUGAGCAUUUACCGUUUUAUCUGGACUCUCUGAAUUGACAAAUUUGGCGUCCGGGGGGUCACAGCUAAUUAGCCAGCCAUGAAGACUGAAGAGGCACGUCUACAUAUCAAGUUUGUAAGACAUCCUUUCAGGGAUCUCACAUUGGUUUCUAUGGGAACAAGAAUGGCUCUGAAGAGGAGCAUUUUAAGAACUCUUUUCACAUUCAGUGACUGCUAACUGAACUGCAAAUUCUGUUUGUUAACGGUUUUUAACUCUUAAAUUUUAACACAGAAAUAAAAGUUGGGCAUUCUAGCUUCAUAAAUCAUUUUAAAUAAUAAAAACUAUUUUUAUGAAACAUCUGGCACAUUGAAACAUUAGAAAAUAAAAUAACUAGCUUUAGGAGCUAAUAAUUUGUUCACUUUAUUAAAUUCAUUAGUGAUUAAUCCAUAUUGGCCUUGUGCUUUCUCUUAUGUAAAGAAAACAUAUCUGAUAUAUUGUUUCAAUACAUUUUCUCUGCUAUUGA
Herpailurus yagouaroundi (jaguarundi) is the source of this 594-nucleotide long non-coding RNA. RefSeq lists it as uncharacterized. Lineage: Eukaryota; Metazoa; Chordata; Mammalia; Carnivora; Felidae. The transcript is spliced from 3 exons. The record is from RefSeq and is a predicted model, not a curated record.